UUCCUUCCUUCCUUCCUUCCUGUGGAUCCCACUGUCCCUGAGAGAGUGCAACAGCUCAGCCGUCCUGUCUGUAACCUGACAGCUGGGAAAUCCAGUUAUGUCUAACUUGGAUUUUGAGCUCUAGACAAAAAUUCACUUGAUCUUGGCUUUUAGAUGAAAAUGCAGUGGUAAAAUAAAAAGCAUUGAUUAAAAAAAAUAAUCUCUAUAAUAAGGAAAACAAAAGCUGCUGGAGCACAGCCUGGCCUCCAGAGAAGAGCUGCUGGCCAGAGGGUUUAGUGUUAUGUCCCAUUCCUACUGCAUUCCCACCAAAUCCAGUCUGCUAACACCUGCUCAUCUCCCUAGCUUUCAAAAGUAUGUGAGCUUGGAAAAAUGGGAGCUAUAAAACCUUCAAACCCAGCCAUUUAAGACAGGGCAGCGAGCUCCCGGCUGUGUCCUCAGGCACAGGGAGGAGCUGGCUCCCUCCCCCAGUGGCAGAGCCAUGCUGGGAAUCCCACAGUCUUCAAAGGGUAAGAGAGAAUUUUCCCACUUUUUGUGCCAAGUAAGGCCUUUAUCUUGCAGAGCAUCCAUAUGCGACACUCAGAUUGUCAGUGUUUAGCACCAAGAUGCCAUUUCUGGGAGCAGGAAUGCUGUUAUCUUGCUGUUAUCUACACCUGGCAGAUGUUGUAGUGAACUCCCGUCUGAUCCAGCAGGGUUUCUUGAGUAAUUUCAAUUCCAUUGUCUUUGGGAUGCAGGUGUGAGGUCUCUGCAGAAGGAAACUUGUCUGUAUUGCUCACUGGGUUUUGCUGCAAAAAGCAAAGAGCAGAGUUUUAAUUUCUGGAGAGAGCAGGUGCCUUGUGCCUGUCCUGCCACGUCCCACGACCGCCUGCCCUCCGUGCUGCACGUACCCGGGGGGGCUUUGGGGCAAAGUCCUUCUCGCAGACGUGCGCUAUGAUGCCCGCAGCCAGCGCGUCACCGAGCACGUUGGUCAUGGUUCGCAGUCGGUCCCUGCCGGGAGACAGUGCCAGCAUGCAGGGGGCUGCCACAGCCAGUGUGCCCGGGGUGUUGAUGGCUUUGCAUCCUGAAUGUCCCUCCCGCUGGUGUUGCCCAGUGCUGUGUUGGUUUUGGAGAUGCAGAGAGGUCCCUAUGUGAGCCCCGUGCUGGGCAGCAUCUGUCUCCCUACCUGUGUGAGCAGUGCAGGCAGCUGCCAGUGCCUCCUCCCAAACUGGGACAGGCACUGUUGUGCUAAGUGCAGGGAGAGCUGCCUCAGUGAGUCAUAGAACUCCUUGAGAUGCCUCUAGAGGAGAAAUUCUGUAGAUCCAGCCACCGGUGCUCUCUUGUCUACCCAGGCACCUCUCACACUAGUAGAAGGUGCCAGCAGUGCUGGAUACUCUGUGAUACUGAAAGGUUGAAGUGGUGGUGUGUUAACCUUCUUUGGUUGGGGGAAAGAAAAAAAGGGGAGGGAAAGAGAAAAGCAGCCUUGAUAUUUGGCACUGUUCCUUCUUUUUCCCUGGGGCUGGAAAGUACAAACCAGCCACCCACAUGUCACUUCCCUAACUCAGCAUCUGCUCUGUGGUUUCUCACCUAAUGACUCACUUUGUUCGUAUCUUAGUACUUUAGAAUGGCACAUUUCACAAGAUGUGAGUUUAUUUGUGACAAGUGUAUUCCAGCAUCAGUUCCUGUCUUGAGAGCAGUCUGGUUUCAUCCAUCAAGAUGAAGAUACAUCACCAUGAAUUGACACGGGGCACUGCCCACAGCAGUGGCCUGGAGAGCACUUACAGAGCCCAGUCGACGGCGAUGAUGAGGGUGAUGUCCUCGGUGGGCAGCCCCACGGAGGUGAGCACGAUGACCAUGGUGACGAGCCCGGACUGCGGGAUCCCAGCGGCCCCGAUGCUGGCUGCCGAGGCCGUGAUGCUGCAGAGAGAAGGCGGCUGUGCAAUCCAAACCAGCGUGUUUGCAUGGCAAACAUGAAGAUGACAACUGUCCCACAGGAACUGGGAUGAGGAAUGGAGGAAGAAGAACAGGUUGAAGAAAGGAAACCACAGAAAAGAAGUCCAUGGGAUUGCAACAGACUCUGAGAAGUGGAGAGUGCAUUUGGGAAGGGCUCUGGAUGCAGAGUGAUGGCCCCAGCCCUCAGACCAUGGGGCUGGGACAAGGGAGCAGGGUGUUCUCUCUGUGACAAUUCUCCCUCAGCUGGCUGCAGGAGAAGCCUGGUGGAGACAGAGCUGGAGAUCCAGGUUCAGGAGGAGACCAGGUUAUUAAGAGUUCCAGAAGCAACCGUUGCAGCGGUGGACAUUGGGGAAGGGAGGCAGAGUCCAGGUGGUAUUUUUGGGAUUAUGUGAAGAAGCAACAGAGAGGCCAGAAAAACCCUUUCCCUGGUCAAAUGCGCUCCAGGAAAAUGUUUGAAUUUGUGUGUCUUCUGGAAAGGAUAGUAGUUUAUAGUGUGAAGUCUUUUUCAUUGUUAUAAGGAAUGUAUUUCAAUGAAAAUAGAAUAGAUAAAUAUAAAAUUAUUAAAAUCUUUUCAAAGUAGGCAAGAUUUUUCUGUGGAAGAACUUGGGAUACGCUAUAGUUGAUUUUAGACUGUCAGUAAAGUGUUCCAAAGAA
This is a non-coding RNA of Lonchura striata (white-rumped munia), 2580 nucleotides long. The record is from RefSeq and is a predicted model, not a curated record. Lineage: Eukaryota; Metazoa; Chordata; Aves; Passeriformes; Estrildidae.